Molecule: ribosomal RNA, 543 nt
Filed under: uncultured bacterium
Lineage: Bacteria
Description: bacterial SSU rRNA
Rfam family: Bacterial small subunit ribosomal RNA
Source: RNAcentral
UGGGGAAUAUUGGACAAUGGGCGAAAGCCUGAUCCAGCCAUGCCGCGUGUGUGAAGAAGGCCUUUUGGUUGUAAAGCACUUUAAGUGGGGAGGAAAAGCUUAUGGUUAAUACCCAUAAGCCCUGACGUUACCCACAGAAUAAGCACCGGCUAACUCUGUGCCAGCAGCCGCGGUAAUACAGAGGGUGCAAGCGUUAAUCGGAAUUACUGGGCGUAAAGCGCGCGUAGGUGGUUAUUUAAGUCAGAUGUGAAAGCCCCGGGCUUAACCUGGGAACUGCAUCUGAUACUGGAUAACUAGAGUAGGUGAGAGGGGAGUAGAAUUCCAGGUGUAGCGGUGAAAUGCGCAGAGAUCUGGAGGAAUACCGAUGGCGAAGGCAGCUCCCUGGCAUCAUACUGACACUGAGGUGCGAAAGCGUGGGUAGCAAACAGGAUUAGAUACCCUGGUAGUCCACGCCGUAAACGAUGUCUACCAGUCGUUGGGUCUUUUAAAGACUUAGUGACGCAGUUAACGCAAUAAGUAGACCGCCUGGGGAGUACGGCUCUA